This 497-nucleotide ribosomal RNA is filed under the name uncultured bacterium. RNAcentral's name for it is "partial 16S ribosomal RNA". It matches the Rfam family "Bacterial small subunit ribosomal RNA", at positions 28 to 507 of the family's 1533-position model. The record is from RNAcentral.
GAUGAACGCUGGCGGCGUGCCUAAUACAUGCAAGUCGAGCGAACGGACGAGAAGCUUGCUUCUCUGAUGUUAGCGGCGGACGGGUGAGUAACACGUGGAUACCCUACCUAUAAGACUGGGAUAACUUCGGGAAACCGUAGCUAAUACCGGAUAAUAUUUUGAACCGCAUGGUUCAAAAGUGAAAGACGGUCUUGCUGUCACUUAUAGAUGGAUCCGCGCUGCAUUAGCUAGUUGGUAAGGUAACGGCUUACCAAGGCAACGAUGCAUAGCCGACCUGAGAGGGUGAUCGGCCACACUGGAACUGAGACACGGUCCAGACUCCUACGGGAGGCAGCAGUAGGGAAUCUUCCGCAAUGGGCGAAAGCCUGACGGAGCAACGCCGCGUGAGUGAUGAAGGUCCUCGGAUCGUAAAACUCUGUUAGUAGGGAAGAACAUAUGUGUAAGUAACUGUGCACAUCUUGACGGUACCUAAUCAGAAAGCCACGGCUAACUACGUG